RNAcentral lists this transfer RNA (72 nucleotides) under Camelus bactrianus (Bactrian camel). It matches the Rfam family "tRNA". Rfam says of the family: Transfer RNA (tRNA) molecules are approximately 80 nucleotides in length. Their secondary structure includes four short double-helical elements and three loops (D, anti-codon, and T loops). Lineage: Eukaryota; Metazoa; Chordata; Mammalia; Artiodactyla; Camelidae. RNAcentral also lists the same sequence under 2 other names. The record is from Rfam by way of RNAcentral.
GUGGUUAUAGCUCAAGUGGUAGAGCUUGUGCUUAGCAUGCAUAAGGUCCUGGGUCCAAUCCCCAGGACCUCC